This is a long non-coding RNA of Corythoichthys intestinalis (scribbled pipefish), 639 nucleotides long. RefSeq lists it as uncharacterized. The transcript has 3 exons. Lineage: Eukaryota; Metazoa; Chordata; Actinopteri; Syngnathiformes; Syngnathidae. The record is from RefSeq and is a predicted model, not a curated record.
CGCCAAAGAGGAAGGACGUAGUGAACUUCCUCAGCGCUUGGAGCCAAAAAGUCGGCCUUCUAGAAAUAAAAUAAUUGACUCAACGCUGAAAUAAGGCCGUUUGAACAAAUAAUAAGAAGGAAAUUACAUUUCCUCGUGUAUGUGAACCGGAGGAUUGGAGCCUGCAUCCACCCAAGUUCACAUUAAAAGAAAAACUUCGUCUUGGCUGGGUUUUUUGUUUCCUCCUUUCAUUCCAUUCAUUGGACGUGGAUGAAGAAUUCGAAACUGGAUAAAGACACUGGAUAAAGACUUUUCCAACAGAUGAAGAUGGCGAGCUAAUGCCCGGAAACCAACUGAAUUGAAUUUAGACGGACUGUCUGGUUUGAAUUUUUGUUAUUUUAUUGUAUAUAUUUGUGUAUAUAUUGCCGGCUUAAAUUGUAAAUAGUUUUUGUAUUAAUAUAAUUAUUUUGUUACUCAUCUCGACUCCAGUUAUUUCAGUUACUAAACAUUAUUUUCCUUAUUGUAAUCUCCGAGAACCUAGUUUUCUGCCCAAAUACAAUUGCAUUCAUAACAGAACCCCGUCAACUCGAAUCGGGGGUUACAGAUGCAAGCCUAGACUGUGGCGACCAAUUUAACCACCCUGAUAAAAAAAUUACAGGU